GACAGAGGUGCCGAGCGUUAGGCGGAAUCACUGGGCUUAAAGCGUGUGUAGGCGGGCGAUCAAGUACCUUGUGAAAUCCCACGGCUCAACCGUGGAACCGCUGGGUAUACUGGUUGUCUUGAGCCGGCUAGGGGCGAGCGGAACAGACGGUGGAGCGGUGAAAUGCGUAGAUAUCGUCUGGAACGCCGAAGGUGAAAACAGCUCGCUGGGGCCGCGCUGACGCUGAGACACGAAAGCCAGGGGAGCGAACAGG
Molecule: ribosomal RNA, 253 nt
Filed under: uncultured bacterium
Lineage: Bacteria
Description: partial 16S ribosomal RNA
Rfam family: Bacterial small subunit ribosomal RNA
Source: RNAcentral